GAUGAACGCUGACAGAAUGCUUAACACAUGCAAGUCGACUCGAGUCUUCAGACUUGGGUGGCGCACGGGUGAGUAACGCGUGAAGAACUUGCCUCUUAGACCGGGACAACAUUUGGAAACGGAUGCUAAUACCGGAUAUUAUGGUUUCUUCGCAUGGGGGAAUCAUGAAAGCUACAUGCGCUAAGAGAGAGCUUUGCGUCCCAUUAGCUCGUUGGUGAGGUAACGGCCCACCAAGGCAACGAUCAGUAGCCGACCUGAGAGGGUGAUCGGCCACAUUGGGACUGAGACACGGCCCAA
RNAcentral lists this ribosomal RNA (297 nucleotides) under uncultured bacterium. Its description in RNAcentral is "partial 16S ribosomal RNA". It matches the Rfam family "Bacterial small subunit ribosomal RNA", at positions 28 to 334 of the family's 1533-position model. The record is from RNAcentral.